AAAUUGAAGAGUUUGAUCAUGGCUCAGAUUGAACGCUGGCGGCAGGCCUAACACAUGCAAGUCGAGCGGUAGCACAGAGAGCUUGCUCUCGGGUGACGAGCGGCGGACGGGUGAGUAAUGUCUGGGAAACUGCCUGAUGGAGGGGGGAUAACUACUGGAAACGGUAGCUAAUACCGCAUAAUGUCGCAAGACCAAAGUGGGGGACCUUCGGGCCUCAUGCCAUCAGAUGUGCCCAGAUGGGAUUAGCUAGUAGGUGGGGUAACGGCUCACCUAGGCGACGAUCCCUAGCUGGUCUGAGAGGAUGACCAGCCACACUGGAACUGAGACACGGUCCAGACUCCUACGGGAGGCAGCAGUGGGGAAUAUUGCACAAUGGGCGCAAGCCUGAUGCAGCCAUGCCGCGUGUGUGAAGAAGGCCUUCGGGUUGUAAAGCACUUUCAGCGGGGAGGAAGGCGUUAAGGUUAAUAACCUUGGCGAUUGACGUUACCCGCAGAAGAAGCACCGGCUAACUCCGUGCCAGCAGCCGCGGUAAUACGGAGGGUGCAAGCGUUAAUCGGAAUUACUGGGCGUAAAGCGCACGCAGGCGGUCUGUCAAGUCGGAUGUGAAAUCCCCGGGCUCAACCUGGGAACUGCAUUCGAAACUGGCAGGCUAGAGUCUUGUAGAGGGGGGUAGAAUUCCAGGUGUAGCGGUGAAAUGCGUAGAGAUCUGGAGGAAUACCGGUGGCGAAGGCGGCCCCCUGGACAAAGACUGACGCUCAGGUGCGAAAGCGUGGGGAGCAAACAGGAUUAGAUACCCUGGUAGUCCACGCCGUAAACGAUGUCGAUUUGGAGGUUGUGCCCUUGAGGCGUGGCUUCCGGAGCUAACGCGUUAAAUCGACCGCCUGGGGAGUACGGCCGCAAGGUUAAAACUCAAAUGAAUUGACGGGGGCCCGCACAAGCGGUGGAGCAUGUGGUUUAAUUCGAUGCAACGCGAAGAACCUUACCUGGUCUUGACAUCCACAGAACUUUCCAGAGAUGGAUUGGUGCCUUCGGGAACUGUGAGACAGGUGCUGCAUGGCUGUCGUCAGCUCGUGUUGUGAAAUGUUGGGUUAAGUCCCGCAACGAGCGCAACCCUUAUCCUUUGUUGCCAGCGGUCCGGCCGGGAACUCAAAGGAGACUGCCAGUGAUAAACUGGAGGAAGGUGGGGAUGACGUCAAGUCAUCAUGGCCCUUACGACCAGGGCUACACACGUGCUACAAUGGCAUAUACAAAGAGAAGCGACCUCGCGAGAGCAAGCGGACCUCAUAAAGUAUGUCGUAGUCCGGAUUGAGUCUGCAACUCGACUCCAUGAAGUCGGAAUCGCUAGUAAUCGUAGAUCAGAAUGCUACGGUGAAUACGUUCCCGGGCCUUGUACACACCGCCCGUCACACCAUGGGAGUGGGUUGCAAAAGAAGUAGGUAGCUUAACCUUCGGGAGGGCGCUUACCACUUUGUGAUUCAUGACUGGGGUGAAGUCGUAACAAGGUAACCGUAGGGGAACCUGCGGUUGGAUCACCUCCUUACCUUAAAGAA
RNAcentral lists this ribosomal RNA (1550 nucleotides) under Klebsiella pneumoniae. Its description in RNAcentral is "bacterial SSU rRNA". It matches the Rfam family "Bacterial small subunit ribosomal RNA". The record is from RNAcentral. Lineage: Bacteria; Pseudomonadati; Pseudomonadota; Gammaproteobacteria; Enterobacterales; Enterobacteriaceae.